AUUGAACGCUGGCGGCAUGCCUUACACAUGCAAGUCGAACGGUAACAGGUCUUCGGAUGCUGACGAGUGGCGAACGGGUGAGUAAUACAUCGGAACGUGCCCGAUCGUGGGGAUAACGCAGCGAAAGCUGUGCUAAUACCGCAUACGAUCUACGGAUGAAAGCGGGGGAGUCGCAAGACCUCGCGCGGACGGAGCGGCCGAUGGCAGAUUAGGUAGGNGGUGGGGUAAAGGCUCACCAAGCCUUCGAUCUGUAGCUGGUCUGAGAGGACGACCAGCACACUGGGACUGAGACACGGCCCAGACUCCUACGGGAGGCAGCAGUGGGGAAUUUUGGACAAUGGGCGCAAGCCUGAUCCAGCCAUGCCGCGU
RNAcentral lists this ribosomal RNA (369 nucleotides) under uncultured bacterium. Its description in RNAcentral is "bacterial SSU rRNA". It matches the Rfam family "Bacterial small subunit ribosomal RNA", at positions 30 to 402 of the family's 1533-position model. The record is from RNAcentral.